Molecule: small RNA, 741 nt
Filed under: Pongo abelii (Sumatran orangutan)
Lineage: Eukaryota; Metazoa; Chordata; Mammalia; Primates; Hominidae
Description: retained intron
Source: RNAcentral
UUUGUGUGCAGAGGGAGGAGGAGGAGGUGGCGGCGGCCGCCGGGCUGGAGACCCCGCCCGGGGAGCCCCCAGCAGGAACAAUGCUAGCCUGCCUGACCCGAGGGAACUUACUGGACGUCCUGCAGGAGGGCUUCAAUGAGCAACAGCUGCAGGCGUAUGUGGCCUGGGUGAAUGCACAGCUGAAGAAGAGGCCAGCAGUGAAGCCUGUGCAGGACCUGCGACAAGAUCUCCGGGAUGGGGUGAUCCUGGCAUAUCUCAUCGAGAUUGUUGCAGGAGAAAAGCUGAGUGGGGUACAGCUGAGUCCCAGUAACCAGCAGGAGAUGAAGAAUAAUGUGGAGAAAGUGCUACAGUUUGUGGCCUCUAAAAAGAUUCGUAUGCACCAGACUUCGGCUAAAGAUAUUGUGGAUGGAAACCUGAAGUCUAUCAUGAGGCUGGUCCUUGCCUUGGCAGCUCAUUUCAAACCUGGCUCUAGCAGGACGGUGAACCAAGGACGGGACUCCAGAGCCCCUCUGCAAAGUCACCGACCACACUGUGCCACUGCUGUUGCCCAGGGAGCAGCUGCUGCUCUGGCCGAUGUGUGUCAUGACAUGUCCCGAUCAGGACGGGAUGUCUUUCGAUAUAGACAGAGGUAAGGGUAGAAAUCCGGGGGUGGGAACUAAUCCCUCUCUCUGAUACUUCUUCUGUUAGAUGAUACAGUGCAGUAGAUAGAAACGUCACCCAAACAGCCCCAGAUUGCAGAAA